Syngnathus acus (greater pipefish) is the source of this 2082-nucleotide long non-coding RNA. RefSeq lists it as uncharacterized. NCBI's taxonomy places the organism in Eukaryota, Metazoa, Chordata, Actinopteri, Syngnathiformes, Syngnathidae. The record is from RefSeq and is a predicted model, not a curated record. The transcript is spliced from 5 exons.
GCUUGAGCUUGUCGAAGCUGACCACCUGCCUCAUCCACGUCUCCCCUGAGGCGGGCGAGUCCGGGUGGAUGUAGACCCGCGGUGGCACCGGAGAGUCGGCGUUGCCCGCCACCAUCCAUUUGGAGCUAUGGUACACGUACCUAUUGGCACAUUUGCUGCGCUGACCUUCCAGCAGACCGAGGUUAAAAGUCCAAAAGGAACAACCAAACAACUGUGCCCAGCGCCCUUUGUGUGUAACACAAAGAGGAAUUACGACUUCAACGUGUCAUAUUUCUCAUUUCUAGCUUACCUGUAUCGUUUGUUGUCCACGGGGAUGAUAUCCAUGGCGAUGUAAUAUUGCUGAUGUGGGUCCAAACCGGACAUUUUCACACGCAUGGCAGGGAACAUCCGCCUGAAAACCAAACGCAUCUAUUUAGAAAUACCUUGCAGUAAUGGGGGCUUUCAAUUGACUUUGCAAAAAAAAAAAAAAAAUAGUGAUGCUCACUUUGCAAUGAUUUCUUAAUUAAAUCCUUGAAUAUUUAUCUUUGACUAUAAUGUCCCCACUAUUAAUUACGUUUAACCAAAACGUGCAAAUUGGUUUUUUUUUAAAGCACACUAUUUUAUUGGCCUUUUAAUUUAAAUUGAAUUUGCAUGAACACAAACGGGCAAAACAUGACUUAGCAAAUGUCUAUACCUUCCAGCUUUCGUGAUGAUCAUCUCCGUGCCGAUCUCGUGGAAGCGUUUCCACAGGUCCGAGCCCUGUAGGUCCACGCGUGGGUCCUCGCUCCCGGUCCCGCAAACGGCUGCGAGUUGCGGACUCUCCAGGAGCGCGUCUUCGCUCUCUGUAGCACACGCGCGCACAAACACGCAAUUACUUGUUACCACGUUCCACACGUUUACUGCGUCUCCACUCCAUUUUUUUAAAAUUACAAUUGAGAAUUCUUUGUAUUAAAAAUGUAAUUCAAUUAAGUAGCUAUUAUACAAUUUUGGGGAGUUGAAAUACAGUUGAAUUUAUUGAUCAUUCUGAUAACUAAGCAUAUUUAUGAGCGUGUUUUCUUUUGUGUGUGUGUGUGUGCGUGCAGGCGGUGCAUUUGAAUGCAGACCCUGAGACUUAUUGCAUUAGAAGUGACACCGUAGACUCGCGUAUUAGGUUUCCAAGUUUCCAGUGCAUCCUGGUGCUUUUGGGUCCGUUUCUACUGCUGCUAAUUGGCGCGUUUACGACUGCAGCCAAAAGCCCAUAAAAUAAAGCAUCGACUCACAGUCAUAAUUGUCACACACUUUGCACGCCGGCCACAAGCCCAACAUGUCUUGUUUGCAUGGCUUCUAGAAUGACAAUAAUCAAGAUUAAUAAUGACGACGAUAUUGUAAGUAUCUGAUCACUAUUUUAUAUUAUAUUAUACUAACAUAGAUGUGUGUGGAAUGUAGACGUGUGUCUGAUGUAGCAGCCGAUAGCGUUGUUGAAUGUUGUGGAUGUCUCCAAAUUUUGUACAUAUUAUUCCAUCUUGUGUUCCAGUUUUUGGCAGCACUGCAAGCUUUUACUUACGGGAUCCGUCGCUGGCAUAUUCCGCCUCGCUGCCGUGCACUCUGCCCGCCGGUGGAGGCUCCGGACUGGCGGCCGUUCUCGGGACGUCGUAGCCGGGCGACGUCGCGCCUUCUCCAGCCGUCCUGCGCCUCUUCUCGGCCCCGAUGAGCGCCUCCACCGAGAAGGCGUGCGCCUUAACGCUGAGCGCGCACGGUGAACGUCGCUUCUCGGCCAUAGCUCCGAUCCCAAGUCCCGGGAAGCGACAGUGGUCAAGGCGUGUCAACCGUGUCUUGGGUACGAAGACGACGACAACGCAGAAGAGUCCCCGAAAAGUGAUGGUGAGAAGGGUCCCCGAAGUGACAUUUUGACCUCCACGACGAGCAAGCAAGUAAAUCAGGGGUCGCCAGUAUGAUGGAGCCCACCCCAGCUGACCUUGGACAAGAGGUGGGCUACAAACUGGAUUAGCCACAGCCAAUCACAGAGGAGAUGCCAAAGUUCCAAUUGUGCUGAUAACCCUAGAGAGACACACCUUUCAUUGACGGCAAUAAUAAGGUUCGUUUUCGUCCCAGAUUUCUUGUGCA